UGCAGUGUUGCCGUGAGGUUGCGGAGAAAUACCGGGAGAUAAAGUAUGAGGAAGUGGUCAUUGACAAUGGUUGUAUGAUGCUUGUGAAGAAUCCUGCACUUUGUGAUGUAUUGGUGAUGCCUAACCUCUAUGGUGAGAUUACGAGCGAUCUUUGUGCCGGAUUGAUCUGUGGCUUGGGAAUGAGUUAACACCAAGUUGCAGUAGUGGUGAGGGAGGAAUAGCUCUUGCUGAAGCAGUUCAUGGUUCAGCACCGGUUAUCACGAGAAAGAAUCUAGCAAACCCUACUGCUUUGUUAUCAAGUGCGGUUACGAUGUUACGACACUUGAAUCUCCAUGACAUGGCCGAAAGUAUUCAGAAUGCCGUUUGUAGCACAAUUUCUGAGGUAAAAUAUUGAACCGCCGACCUCGGCGGCUCUUCGGCAACAGCUGAUUUCACUAAGGCAAUCUCCGACCACCUCUUAUAUAUUGUUUCUUCGUACCAUUUCGAAUUUUGCAUCCGAGUAUGGGAAUGAAGAUAUAGU
Hibiscus syriacus is the source of this 520-nucleotide long non-coding RNA. RefSeq lists it as uncharacterized. The transcript is spliced from 4 exons. NCBI's taxonomy places the organism in Eukaryota, Viridiplantae, Streptophyta, Magnoliopsida, Malvales, Malvaceae. The record is from RefSeq and is a predicted model, not a curated record.